Molecule: ribosomal RNA, 99 nt
Filed under: Ravenelia macowaniana
Lineage: Eukaryota; Fungi; Basidiomycota; Pucciniomycetes; Pucciniales; Raveneliaceae
Description: partial 18S ribosomal RNA
Source: RNAcentral
UAAUAAUAUGGGAAGUGCACUUCAUUGUGGCUCCCUAUUAUAUUUCACAUUAUGGGAAGUGCACUUCAUUGUGGCUCCCUAUUAUAUUUCACAUUACCC